UACAAAGUGCUCCUGAAGUGAAUGGGAGACUGUAAUUGUGCUUUAUAGACAGUUUUUGCAUAAGUAUGUCAACAUCUGUCAAUAGAUUUGAGAUGCGAUAGCUAGGUGCGACCUCUGUAAUAUCUAGAGGCAGAUGCACCUAGCGUAGUAGAUGCUGGCGACAACCAAGAAGGGAUGACCACCACCUUGCUGUCAUGCUUGUGAGCUUCCAGAGGCCACUGGCUGGUCACUGCUGAGUUUUAUUUAGUAAGGCAAUUCUUCCAUUCUUCCAUGAAAUGUCUGUGUUCUAACCUUUUCUGCAGUGGGUGGGGGAGGAAAUUUACAUUUGUAGAAUGUAAUUUACAUUUGUAGAAUCUGAUUUUUUUUUAAAAAAAAUUGGUGGUUGAUUCCAGUAAUAUUUCAGCAUGGAUUUGAUUUGAUUUGCUUAUUGCACAUGUUCUCUCUUUCCCAGAUUCUUUUUCUUGAUGUCAGCACAUACAGCAUUAUACUUGGGGUAACUGGAGUGCCUCUCAGAAUGUGUCAUUAAAACUGCUUCUCUAUCAUAUUCCAUCUGAAAGUGGUCUUUUUAAAGUCUCUUGAGGGAAUUGUGUAUUUUAUAUACUUGCAGUGGUGGACUAUUGUGUAAUGAAGAAACAAAAGGGGUGGAAAAUUACAUGGGUAGGGGAAAAGGGAUUUGGUCUGCACGCUCAUAUAAACCAGGAAAGCGGACCAUAGUGGCAAGAGGAGUGUUGUUAAGACUGCUGCCUUCACCUCACUUCACAAGUUCUAAUAUUUUUACUUACAAUUCAAGAUGCUAAUUGAUAUAGUCAAUAAAACUCUGAAACAGCCAUGGGCCAUAAAUACUGUAGCUUCAAUGUGAAAUUUCUGUCAUUUAAACCUAUUGAUUUCACUGGUCUUAAGCAUGCCUAAACUCUGCUGCAUGAUGGACAAGCCCUUUAGUCUCGGAGUAUGAUAUUAUAUAAAUGCAUGACUGGUCUAUAGGAAAACUUUCUCGCAUAUUUUGCUUUAUUAAUGGCAGUUAUAAUGGCAUUAGUAAUAAUUCAGACUGGAUUUCAAGAUUUGAUAUUUUAAGAUUUAAAAUAUGUGCUGUUAAUCAGCAAAUAUGGAAUCUUGAUUGCUAUAACGACUGUGUUUCUUUUUCAUAUACAACUGCACUAGCAUUUUCUAUUUUUUUGUCCCAACGUUUUAAAAUAAUACCUAAAUUCUAUUCAUAUUCUUAAAAGUAUGAUUGGCCAUGAUCCAUUCCCAGGGCUUUGAUAAACUAUGGGCCACAACAGUGAUGACAAACCUUUUAGAGACAGAGUGCCCAAACUGCAACCCAAAACCCACUUAUUUAUCGCAAAGUGCCAACAUGGCAAUUUAACCUGUAUAUCUUCAUUUUUCUCUGUGUUUCACGUUUCUUCUUUAUGACUGCUGUUGUAAUAAAUAAUCCGUCAUUAAAUUAUCUUUUCAUUGAUAUAUAAUUUUAUGGUAUAACUCAGUGCUUUUUUUUCUUAAAAAAAUGUUUAGGGGUACUCUCAUUUUGACUCAAGAAAAUCUCCACCAGGGAAAAAUAAAUACAGUUCAAAUUGGGAAAAAUAAAUACAAUAAAUUUCUUCUCCCGUUAAAUUCACAAAAUGUUUAAGGGUAUGCGUCCCCCUGUGUCCCCACAGAAAAAAAGCCCUGGUAUUACUCCAAAACAAAGUGGUGUUAUGAGCCAUCAAACCUCUGAAAUAAAUUUUCCCCAGGAGGUUCCACAAUUCUGGAAACUAGUGUACACUGGAGGGCUGUACUAAGAGCCACCCUCUCCCAAUUUUUAAUAUGAGAUAAUAAUGAUAGUCUGCAUGUGCACAUACAAAUAUAAAUAAAUAAAUAAACCCAACAAGAUGGGCAGGCUAUUAUUAGCCAUUUCUUUUGCUGCUGUUUGAUCGCAGCCUCCAUGGAAUGAAUUUCUCUGUUGGCUUCCGCGGGAAAGCCCAGUGAACAUGUAAACCCAGCAGCCCCUUCUUAGGUUGCCGUCUUUAUAUGCUUACUAACCUGGGAGUUAAGCCCUGCUGAACUCAAGACAGCUUUCUCCUGAGUAGGAAAAUCAGACUGGCUUGAGGCCCUGGUGCAUCAAAAGUCAAUGCCUGCUCAGCCCCUCGAUGCUCGCCAAGCCCUGGUGCCGCAGGCUUUGGACAGUACGUGCGAGCCCGCCACUCCUCCUCCACCCCCAGCACGGAAGCUACGGCUCUGCUGGGGUGAUGGCACACAUGCCCACAGAGAGGGCUCUGGGUGCCCUCUCUGGCACACAUACCAUAGGUUCGCCACCACUGAGCCAGAGGCUGCAGGGGAGAGUAAGUCAGUACUUCAUAAAUCAAAAAAUGUGCACUAAUCUUUCCAUAUUGGUGGAAGGACCAUAGGUAGAACAUCUGUUUUGCAUGCAGAAGAUUCCAGGUUCUACAUCAAGUUUAAAAGACCAUAUAACAUGUGAUGGAAGACUUCUGCCACUCAGAGUGGACAAUGCUGGGCUAAAUGGGGGGUGGGGAGAAAGCAGUUUUCUAUAUUUGCUGGAGUCUUGCCCAAUAUGAAGACAAAAGUGAAUUGAAUUUUUCACAUUAUCUCUGAAUGGAUAUAAAUAGUAAUUUAUAAAUAGUAAUGUUUUUAUCCUGGCUACUGUCCCACACUUCUUUCUCUCCAUCGUUAUUUUUGAUCUAACGGAAUGUGUUGAAUUAUACCUAUCCUCUUUUAUGGGUUAUGCAUAUCAAAGUAGGUGUGGCCAAGAUGUGAUACUGGACUCAGUGAGAAUGGCAGAUCUCAAGGUUAUUUACCAAGUCUUUCCCAACAGCUAUUCUACACAGUUUGGAAACUGUUUGGAAAUUCAUAGACUGCAAAAUUUCUAACAGCUGGCAUUAAAGGCCACUAUGGUGAUCUCUGAAUCUCAAAUUGUAUAAUUUUUUAUCUGGCAAUUUUAUGUGUUCAGUUGCAUUUUUAUGUUUGAUGUACUCUGGAAAUAUAUUGCAAUAGCUGAAGGCUGAUGCAAAUAAUUGUUUUCCUUUGUACACACUGCCUUGUGUGACAGUUUUCUUGUCUGUGACAUGGUUGGCUUGCUUAAAUGUUUUGGAAGGCACCGCUGUGGUCAAUCACCAGUGCUUACAUAAAAUAAAUACUGUUGAAAGACUGGUGAUUGGAAUACUCCAAACGCUGCCUCUUAUUUGAAUGAUUUAUUAAAAAAUAUUUCUUAUUUGUAAAUUUAAUAAGUAAAGUAGAAGAAGAGAAAGGGGGAAAUGAAAUU
This 3253-nucleotide long non-coding RNA is filed under the name Podarcis lilfordi (Lilford's wall lizard). Lineage: Eukaryota; Metazoa; Chordata; Lepidosauria; Squamata; Lacertidae. The record is from RNAcentral.